RNAcentral lists this ribosomal RNA (414 nucleotides) under uncultured microorganism. Its description in RNAcentral is "bacterial SSU rRNA". It matches the Rfam family "Bacterial small subunit ribosomal RNA", at positions 9 to 416 of the family's 1533-position model. The record is from RNAcentral.
GAGUUUGAUCAUGGCUCAGGACGAACGCUGGCGGCGUGCCUAAUACAUGCAAGUCGAGCGGAUCUUCAUUAGCUUGCUUUUGAAGAUCAGCGGCGGACGGGUGAGUAACACGUGGGCAACCUGCCUGUAAGACUGGGAUAACUUCGGGAAACCGAGCUAAUACCGGAUGAUCCUUUUCCUCUCAUGAGGAAAAGCUGAAAGACGGUUUCGGCUGUCACUUACAGAUGGGCCCGCGGCGCAUUAGCUAGUUGGUGAGGUAACGGCUCACCAAGGCGACGAUGCGUAGCGACCUGAGAGGUGAUCGGCCACACUGGGACUGAGACACGGCCCAGACUCCUACGGGAGGCAGCAGUAGGGAAUCUUCCGCAAUGGACGAAAGUCUGACGGAGCAACGCCGCGUGAGCGAUGAAGGCC